Molecule: ribosomal RNA, 70 nt
Filed under: Candidatus Aminicenantota bacterium
Lineage: Bacteria; Candidatus Aminicenantota
Description: partial 16S ribosomal RNA
Rfam family: Bacterial small subunit ribosomal RNA
Source: RNAcentral
UCAACUGGAGAGUUUGAUCCUGGCUCAGAGUGAACGUUGGCGGCGUGCCUAACACAUGCAAGUCGUACGC